CAUUCCUUCAAAAUUUUAGCCCCAAAUCCAACCAAAAAACACAUCCUCCAUGCUUGCCUUUGAUAAAGAAAACCAAAAAAAUAAAACUAUGUACUAUUCCUAUCAGCCAUAACAUUUACGCACCAUGAAAAUUGCGUAACAAACAACGAUAUGAUUCAUCUCCACGUGUACGUUCUAGAUCUUUCCUUGCAUACGUUAGCAAUCUGAAACUCAUCAAAUCAACCAAUCACAAAACACUCUCUAACAGAACAUUCCCUCGCUAUAAAUAAAGCAACUGGUCUUUCCUUUUCGAGUGGUUUUCCAUUAAGCAAUUCUGUGUGCUUUCAUUUUCUUCUUUUGUUCUGUCUCUGUGAGUUGAAAUGACUGCCGACAAAGAACCUGAGGUUGCGGCUGUCGUUGAGCAGCCGCCUUUGACGGAGGAGGAGGCCAAGCCGACGGAGAAGCCAGUGAAGGAGAAGAAGCCUAAACAGCCCAAAACUGCCUCUCAUCCUCCAUAUUUUCAGAUGAUCAAAGAGGCUCUGUUGGCCUUAAACGAGAAGAGUGGAUCGAGUCCGUACGCCAUAGGUAAGUACAUGGAAGAGAAGCACAAGGCAGUCCUUCCUGCAAAUUUCAAGAAAAUUCUAGCUUUACAAUUGAAGAACUCUGCUGCCAGAGGAAAUCUGAUCAAGAUCAAAGCCUCUUAUAAGCUAUCAGAGGCAGGCAAGAAAGAGAACAGCACAGCAAAGGUCCCAAAGGAAAAGGCUAACAGAGCAAAGAAACCUAAAGAAGCCAAAACAAUAGCUGGUCCCACCACUAGAAAGACAAGGUCUGCGAACAAAACUGAAGCUGCGAAGAAGCCAGCAGCGAAGAGAGUGGGAGCAAAGAAGGCAAAAAAAUCAACCACUGCAAAACCCAAACAGCCCAAGUCAAUCAAAUCCCCUGCUGCCAAGAGAAUCAAGAAAACUGCAAUAGCUGCUUCUGCUUCUUAGAUGUAAACAAAAUUAGGGAGUGACGAUGAUAAUAAUUAGUGUUAGGGUUGUGUCGUCUUCCGUAAAUAAGGGAUAUGUACGUGUGUGUUUAUAAUCUGUGCAAAAAAAUUAGGGUGCUUUGUGUGAAAGCUGAGUCUGUUGUGCCACGUGGAGCCUCCUCGUUGUGUUUGCGCACGCAGUUCGCAAUCUGUGAUUAUGAUCAUGAUAUCAGGAUUUUUGCAUCUAUGGCAAGAAUUUCUCCUGUUUUGCCUGUUAUCGUCAGGAAUUUUUUGCAUCUAUGGUUCUUAAAAUUUCUCUUGUUUGGUACCGACUUGGACAGGGCCGUUUCAGGCCUUUGAACUGGAUCGAGUCCAGUUUAUCAUCUUUCUAAACUCAAAAGCGACAGAUGAAAAUGUACUUCUUAGAAGUUUGCUAUGCGGAUGAUUAGGAGUCUGCUUUGGAUUUGGUUUAUAAUGAUUUAGAAUCUUUUAGUGGCCUUGACUCUUCAAUUGAUCUUACUUUUCCCAUUCUUGACCUGACAUCUAGAGAAAAAUGCCCGAUUACACUAUGCGUAUUUGUGUGUAUAUUUUUUCAUUUUAUAUAGGUGAAAUGUUUCGCACAGUUAUAAUAUUUUCAAAAGAAAGCUUGUGGAAUAAAUAAAAG
RNAcentral lists this unclassified non-coding RNA (1610 nucleotides) under Hevea brasiliensis (rubber tree). The record is from RNAcentral. Lineage: Eukaryota; Viridiplantae; Streptophyta; Magnoliopsida; Malpighiales; Euphorbiaceae.